This is a small nucleolar RNA of Capra hircus (goat), 68 nucleotides long. Lineage: Eukaryota; Metazoa; Chordata; Mammalia; Artiodactyla; Bovidae. The record is from Ensembl.
UGGCAGUGAUGCAUGAAUUUCUUCACUGUAGUCACCAUGAAGAGUAAAAUCCGAGCUUUUUACUCCAC